UACAGAGGGGGCAAGCGUUGUUCGGAAUUACUGGGCGUAAAGGGCGCGUAGGCGGCCUUCUAAGUCGAACGUGAAAUCCCCGGGCUCAACCCGGGAACUGCGUCCGAUACUGGAAGGCUUGAAUUCGGGAGAGGGAUGCGGAAUUCCAGGUGUAGCGGUGAAAUGCGUAGAUAUCUGGAGGAACACCGGUGGCGAAGGCGGCAUCCUGGACCGGCAUUGACGCUGAGGCACGAAAGCGUGGGGAGCGAACAGG
This 253-nucleotide ribosomal RNA is filed under the name uncultured bacterium. RNAcentral's name for it is "partial 16S ribosomal RNA". It matches the Rfam family "Bacterial small subunit ribosomal RNA", at positions 524 to 776 of the family's 1533-position model. The record is from RNAcentral.